RNAcentral lists this ribosomal RNA (468 nucleotides) under uncultured bacterium. RNAcentral's name for it is "partial 16S ribosomal RNA". It matches the Rfam family "Bacterial small subunit ribosomal RNA", at positions 28 to 507 of the family's 1533-position model. The record is from RNAcentral.
GACGAACGCUGGCGGCGUGCUUAACACAUGCAAGUCGAACGGAAAGGCCCUGCCUUUGUGGGGUGCUCGAGUGGCGAACGGGUGAGUAACAAGUGAGUAACCUGCCCUUGACUUUGGGAUAACUUCAGGAAACUGGGGCUAAUACCGGAUAGGAGCUCCUGCUGCAUGGUGGGGGUUGGAAAGUUUCGGCGGUUGGGGAUGGACUCGCGGCUUAUCAGCUUGUUGGUGGGGUAGUGGCUUACCAAGGCUUUGACGGGUAGCCGGCCUGAGAGGGUGACCGGCCACAUUGGGACUGAGAUACGGCCCAGACUCCUACGGGAGGCAGCAGUGGGGAAUAUUGCACAAUGGGCGGAAGCCUGAUGCAGCAACGCCGCGUGCGGGAUGACGGCCUUCGGGUUGUAAACCGCUUUCGCCUGUGACGAAGCGUGAGUGACGGUAAUGGGUAAAGAAGCACCGGCUAACUACGUG